GCUGAGUUAAAUGAUUAUUAAUUCUUUUAAUAACAAUACAUUUUGUAUUCUAUUAAAAUAGUAUAUCUGAUGAGUUAAUAUUUUUAAUUCUAAGUUGCUUAGUGAGUAGUUUCAAGUCAUGCACUAGUGAUUAUCUUCAUGGACCAAUGAGUUAGGUUAAUGUUGUAACAGUUUAGGUUUUACAAGUUUGGGGUAUCAUAUGACAACUCUCUUCUUUAUAAUGAUUGGUUCAUUAAGUCACAUGUUGUUUUUUUUGGAGGGAAAUUCUAUUGUCUUGGUUAGAAUUUGCUUAUAUCUUGAACUGAGGGGUGCUGAUAUAGUUUGUACUCAUAUUUAAUGGACAUCUUUGAUUUUAUAUAAAAAAAAAAUAUUGAACCGGACUAAGAUUGUACAUGAUGUAGUACCACAAGGGUUCCAGAGUUUUGUUUAUACAGGACAUUUGUACCUCAUACAAGUAUGUUGAGAGAAGUUCAGAACAAGCUAUUAUGUUUGAAGAGGAGUUGUCAGCACGUCAUCAUUGAAUAAAGUCAGUUGUAUUAGAAGUGAAGCCUAAUCAGAAAUGAGACAAUUAUCAAAUAAUUCAAAGACUACAUGGAUGUUAUCUGGACUAACAUUUGUAUGACCUAUAUGUGGUAUUUUUCAUAUGAAGACUUACAAGGCAAAUAAUUGGCUGUGGCAACAUGUGUAUGCAUUUAACAUGUUUAAAGACUUGAAGAACUUGUACUGCCUUCUUCAGAUUUCAGUAGAAUUUGUUUAAGACAGUAAAUUCUGAGUAUGAAUUGAAGAAUUUUUGCUCAUUUAAAUGAAUUAUGAAAAUGUUUUACAUCUUAAAUAUAUACAAAAACAACA
Mytilus trossulus (common blue mussel) is the source of this 849-nucleotide long non-coding RNA. RefSeq lists it as uncharacterized. Lineage: Eukaryota; Metazoa; Mollusca; Bivalvia; Mytilida; Mytilidae. The record is from RefSeq and is a predicted model, not a curated record. The transcript is spliced from 3 exons.